Molecule: ribosomal RNA, 460 nt
Filed under: uncultured bacterium
Lineage: Bacteria
Description: partial 16S ribosomal RNA
Rfam family: Bacterial small subunit ribosomal RNA
Source: RNAcentral
CCUACGGGUGGCAGCAGUGAGGAAUAUUGGUCAAUGGGCGAGAGCCUGAACCAGCCAAGUCGCGUGAGGGAAGACGGUCCUAUGGAUUGUAAACCUCUUUUGCCGGGGAGCAAAAAGCGGUACGUGUACCGCAUCGAGAGUACCCGGAGAAACAGCAUCGGCUAACUCCGUGCCAGCAGCCGCGGUAAUACGGAGGGUGCGAGCGUUAUCCGGAUUUAUUGGGUGUAAAGGGUGCGCAGGCGGCGGAGUAAGGCAGCGGGAAAAGUUCGGGGCUCAAACCCCGCAAGGCGGUUGAAACUGGAUUGCUGGAGUGCGGGAGAGGUAUGCGGAAUGCGUGGUGUAGCGGUGAAAUGCAUAGAUAUCACGAAGAACUCCGAUUGCGAAGGCAGCCUACCGGAGCGCAACUGACGCUGAGGCACGAAAGCGUGGGUAUCGAACAGGAUUAGAUACCCGGGUAGUC